UGACGCGCCACCGCGUCAAAACGUGACUCACGCCACUCUGACACAAUUUGUAAACAACAGCACCAUAACUGAAAGUCCAGCCCGUGUUUUUUGAAAACUAGACAUCUCAACCAUCAUUUUGAUACCUCAUAUGUGUGGGUAUGUGCUGUAAAACUAACAGUGACAUUGUUUUAAAAAACGUUUUUGAUCAUUUUUUUUUUUACCUUGACCAGAAUGCUGUUGAAAUGACGCGACGGCGAAAUCGCGGCAAAACACUGCUCGGUUUUGAUCAUAAUUCUCCGUCAAAACAACAGAAAACGCCCAGAAGGAGAUACAAUACAUUUAGUAACUAUGUUUUUCACUAGUUUUAGAAAUCUCUGAUCUCUAAAAUACAGGGAUAAUACAUUCACAUAGUCCAGGAAGUGGACAGCCGACCGGAUGUUGUUUUGUGAUCAGUGAUGCGUUUCCAGGGACACAGUAAACUUUGAGGAAGAAGUAGUGUCAUGUUUAGUGUUCACGGUUUACAUUGCUGAAGGAAAAUUACAAGCCUAAACGGACAAGAGUCGUCAUUUCAAUGUGUUUCACGGACGUAUUGGCAUGUGGAUGUGGACAAUGUCGGACGACAUCAAAGUUGACAUGAGAAGUUGGACUGAAUACGAGAAGAGCAUGCGAGCUGCCUGCUGCCUACUGCCUACUCCUGCUGCUGCCGCUGCUGUUGUUGCAUUCAAUGUUGGGUAGCCAGCCACCCAUGCACGAUGACAAUGCCAGCAGCGGGCACCCAUGGGGAUGGACCCAGGAGUGGAGGAUGACCCAGUAUGAUGAAAGUUCAGCCCACUCACUGACACCAGUGACACAGUAUUGACCAGAUCUCCUGGAAGUGCCUCCUGACGCAGACCCAGUUGUUGGGUAGCCAGCCACCCAUGCACGUUGACACAGCCAGCACGGAGCACCCAGGGGGAUGGACCCAGGAGUGGAGGACGACCCAAUAGGAUGAAAAUUCAUCCCACUCACUGUUGACACCAAUGAGGGAACAAGAGAGGCUAGGCAACCCCAUCUUUUGACAACGGUCACCACCAGUCUAUUUCUAAAAAUGUUAUUAUUAUAUAUCUGUUAUAUAACAAUGUAUUUUUGUA
This is a long non-coding RNA of Engraulis encrasicolus (European anchovy), 1112 nucleotides long. RefSeq lists it as uncharacterized. The transcript is spliced from 5 exons. The record is from RefSeq and is a predicted model, not a curated record. NCBI's taxonomy places the organism in Eukaryota, Metazoa, Chordata, Actinopteri, Clupeiformes, Engraulidae.